UUGACGGAGAGUUUGAUCCUGGCUCAGGACGAACGCUGGCGGCGUGCUUUACACAUGCAAGUCGAACGAUGAUGACCAGCUUGCUGGUUUGAUUAGUGGCGAACGGGUGAGUAACACGUGAGUAACCUGCCCCAGACUCUGGGAUAACUCCGGGAAACCGGGGCUAAUACUGGAUAUCCAUCUCCUGCUGCAUGGUGGGGGUUGUAAAGGGUUUCUGGUCUGGGAUGGGCUCGCGGCCUAUCAGCUUGUUGGUGGGGUGAUGGCCUACCAAGGCUUUGACGGGUAGCCGGCCUGAGAGG
RNAcentral lists this ribosomal RNA (299 nucleotides) under Micrococcales bacterium. RNAcentral's name for it is "partial 16S ribosomal RNA". It matches the Rfam family "Bacterial small subunit ribosomal RNA", at positions 1 to 299 of the family's 1533-position model. Lineage: Bacteria; Bacillati; Actinomycetota; Actinomycetes; Micrococcales. The record is from RNAcentral.